GCAAGUCGAGGGGUAAGUCCCGAAUUCGUCGGGAACACGACCGGGCGCACGGGUGAGUAACGCGUAUGUAACUUACCUCUAACUAGAGGAUAGCCCGAAGAAAUUCGGAUUAAUACUCUAUAAUAUCAUAGGAUCACAUGUUUUUUAUGAUUAAAGCUCCGGCGGUUAGAGAUAGGCAUGCGUACCAUUAGCUUGUUGGUGAGGUAACGGCCCACCAAGGCAACGAUGGUUAGGGGAUCUGAGAAGAUGAUCCCCCACACUGGUACUGAGACACGGACCAGACUCCUACGGGAGGCAGCAGUGAGGAAUAUUGGGCAAUGGACGCAAGUCUGACCCAGCCAUGCCGCGUGCAGGAUGACGGCCCUAUGGGUUGUAAACUGCUUUUGUACAGGAACAAACACUCCGACGUGUCGGAGCUUGACUGUACUGUACGAAUAAGCAUCGGCUAACUCCGUGCCAGCAGCCGCGGUAAUACGGAGGAUGCAAGCGUUAUCCGGAUUUAUUGGGUUUAAAGGGUGCGUAGGCGGGAUUAUAAGUCAGUGGUGAAAUCUUCCGGCUUAACCGGGAAACUGCCAUUGAUACUGUUAUUCUUGAGUGCAGUUGAGGUGGGCGGAAUGUGUAAUGUAGCGGUGAAAUGCUUAGAUAUUACACAGAACACCUAUUGCGUAGGCAGCUCACUAAACUGUAACUGACGCUGAGGCACGA
Molecule: ribosomal RNA, 705 nt
Filed under: uncultured Bacteroidota bacterium
Lineage: Bacteria; Pseudomonadati; Bacteroidota
Description: bacterial SSU rRNA
Rfam family: Bacterial small subunit ribosomal RNA
Source: RNAcentral